Molecule: non-coding RNA, 458 nt
Organism: Gekko japonicus
Lineage: Eukaryota; Metazoa; Chordata; Lepidosauria; Squamata; Gekkonidae
Source: the annotation of a RefSeq genome assembly
AGACAGAGAGAAGGGGAAGGAUGGACCACAUUGUAAUUUUUCUCCUUCUGCUGAGCAGUGUGCCAGGUACCUUUUCCAGUCCCCGGCUGACCCAGUCUGGCCCAGUUAUGGUGAAGCCGGGAGGGUCCUUCAAAGUGACCUGCACUGUCUCUGGGGUCCAAGUCAGUGAUCAUUACUGGGUUUGGAACCAUCAGCCUCCAAAAAAAGGCCUGGAGUGGCUGGGAGGUAUUCGUAGUACUGGAAAUGGAGGAACCAGCUACUACAACCCAGCCUUCAGCAGUCGAAUCAGCAUCACCAGGGACACCUCCAGGAAUGAGGUCUACCUCCAGCUCAGUUCCCUGACAGCUGCAGACACUGCAACGUAUUACUGUGCAAGAUACACAGAGUUAAAGCAUUGGGGAUUGGGCACCAAAAUGCCCAUCACAAUGAUGGGCAAAGGAGAUUAUCCUGCCCUAUAG